GGAUGUUGGCUUAGAAGCAGCCAUCAUUUAAAGAAAGCGUAAUAGCUCACUGGUCGAGUCGGCCUGCGCGGAAGAUGUAACGGGGCUAAACCAUGCACCGAAGCUGCGGCAGCGACACUAUGUGUUGUUGGGUAGGGGAGCGUUCUGUAAGCCUGUGAAGGUGUACUGUGAGGUAUGCUGGAGGUAUCAGAAGUGCGAAUGCUGACAUAAGUAACGAUAAAGCGGGUGAAAAGCCCGCUCGCCGGAAGACCAAGGGUUCCUGUCCAACGUUAAUCGGGGCAGGGUGAGUCGACCCCUAAGGCGAGGCCGAAAGGCGUAGUCGAUGGGAAACAGGUUAAUAUUCCUGUACUUGGUGUUACUGCGAAGGGGGGACGGAGAAGGCUAUGUUGGCCGGGCGACGGUUGUCCCGGUUUAAGCGUGUAGGCUGGUUUUCCAGGCAAAUCCGGAAAAUCAAGGCUGAGGCGUGAUGACGAGGCACUACGGUGCUGAAGCAACAAAUGCCCUGCUUCCAGGAAAAGCCUCUAAGCAUCAGGUAACAUCAAAUCGUACCCCAAACCGACACAGGUGGUCAGGUAGAGAAUACCAAGGCGCUUGAGAGAACUCGGGUGAAGGAACUAGGCAAAAUGGUGCCGUAACUUCGGGAGAAGGCACGCUGAUAUGUAGGUGAAGUCCCUUGCGGAUGGAGCUGAAAUCAGUCGAAGAUACCAGCUGGCUGCAACUGUUUAUUAAAAACACAGCACUGUGCAAACACGAAAGUGGACGUAUACGGUGUGACGCCUGCCCGGUGCCGGAAGGUUAAUUGAUGGGGUUAGCGGUAACGCGAAGCUCUUGAUCGAAGCCCCGGUAAACGGCGGCCGUAACUAUAACGGUCCUAAGGUAGCGAAAUUCCUUGUCGGGUAAGUUCCGACCUGCACGAAUGGCGUAAUGAUGGCCAGGCUGUCUCCACCCGAGACUCAGUGAAAUUGAACUCGCUGUGAAGAUGCAGUGUACCCGCGGCAAGACGGAAAGACCCCGUGAACCUUUACUAUAGCUUGACACUGAACAUUGAGCCUUGAUGUGUAGGAUAGGUGGGAGGCUUUGAAGUGUGGACGCCAGUCUGCAUGGAGCCGGCCUUGAAAUACCACCCUUUAAUGUUUGAUGUUCUAACGUUGGCCCCUGAUCGGGGUUGCGGACAGUGUCUGGUGGGUAGUUUGACUGGGGCGGUCUCCUCCUAAAGAGUAACGGAGGAGCACGAAGGUUGGCUAAUCCUGGUCGGACAUCAGGAGGUUAGUGCAAUGGCAUAAGCCAGCUUGACUGCGAGCGUGACGGCGCGAGCAGGUGCGAAAGCAGGUCAUAGUGAUCCGGUGGUUCUGAAUGGAAGGGCCAUCGCUCAACGGAUAAAAGGUACUCCGGGGAUAACAGGCUGAUACCGCCCAAGAGUUCAUAUCGACGGCGGUGUUUGGCACCUCGAUGUCGGCUCAUCACAUCCUGGGGCUGAAGUAGGUCCCAAGGGUAUGGCUGUUCGCCAUUUAAAGUGGUACGCGAGCUGGGUUUAGAACGUCGUGAGACAGUUCGGUCCCUAUCUGCCGUGGGCGCUGGAGAACUGAGGGGGGCUGCUCCUAGUACGAGAGGACCGGAGUGGACGCAUCACUGGUGUUCGGGUUGUCAUGCCAAUGGCACUGCCCGGUAGCUAAAUGCGGAAGAGAUAAGUGCUGAAAGCAUCUAAGCACGAAACUUGCCCCGAGAUGAGUUCUCCCUGACUCCUUGAGAGUCCUGAAGGAACGUUGAAGACGACGACGUUGAUAGGCCGGGUGUGUAAGCGCAGCGAUGCGUUGAGCUAACCGGUACUAAUGAACCGUGAGGCUUAACCUU
RNAcentral lists this ribosomal RNA (1851 nucleotides) under human gut metagenome. RNAcentral describes it as "bacterial LSU rRNA". It matches the Rfam family "Bacterial large subunit ribosomal RNA", at positions 1096 to 2925 of the family's 2925-position model. The record is from RNAcentral.